UUUCCGUAGGUGAACCUGCGGAAGGAUCAUUAUUGUAUAACAGAGGUGCGAGGGCUGUCGCUGACCCGAAAGGUCGUGCACGCCCGAGUGCCCUCACACACAUCCAUCUCACCCCUAUGUGCACCACCGCGUGGGUCCCCCUUUGGCUUGUUCGGAGGGGGGCUUACGUUUUCACACAAACUUUGUAUGCAGUGUAGAAUGUAUUUUUUGUUUUUGCGAUCACGCAAUCAAUACAACUUUCAACAACGGAUCUCUUGGCUCUC
RNAcentral lists this unclassified non-coding RNA (263 nucleotides) under plant metagenome. Its description in RNAcentral is "partial contains small subunit ribosomal RNA, internal transcribed spacer 1, and 5.8S ribosomal RNA". The record is from RNAcentral.